UUGGUGGUGACCAGCAUGCUCUUAAUGCUGAAGAAUACAAUCUUACCAGUUUCAAAAAAAAAUAAAUGUAUUUAUCUUCUAUUUUUUGGGUGGAACAUGGCAAUUGCAAAUCACACACAGGCCAUGAUAGACUUUUUGAGCUCAUUACACAACAUGUAUUGAUGCUACCUCAUGUACAUAAGUUACUAAAUAUUCUUUAAUCAUAAAGAAAAAGUAACAGCAGUUUUAUUAUUGCUAUGUCAUGUCUGAACUCCAAUCUGUUGCUUAAGUUUUCCUUAUACACUUCAUUCUUUCUAAACAUAACUUUUUACUUGUUGGAUUGGCUUACUGCAGCAUUUGCACCCAAACUGAUAACUGGGACUUGAUAUGCAAGUAUGCUAUAAGGUUUGUCAAGGCAGGAAUGAAGCUACGAAAGACUUCCUUGGACACUCGGAUGGAAUUUGCCUCAGAAAUAGGAGAUGUGGAUGCUUUGUGAAAAAUUGAGAAGAUACAAUUACAAAUCAUGAAGGAACAUACUCUUGGAAGUGGACUUUCAUGUGACAGUACCUGAUUCAAGAAGGCAAAAAUUCAUGGUUGAACUUCAAAAGCUAGUUGCGAACUGGCCUUUGGAGAGUGACAAAAGGAUGAGAGGGAGGAAGAAGGUAAGCUCUUUAUUCUUUUUAUUUUGAACAUACUAGCAUUAUUGUUUUGAUGAAUUAUUACCUUUUUUUUUAUUGGAGUUGCUCUGAAAUGAUUUAGUGCUAACGUAGGACGUUAGGAAUUUUAUUUGGUUUGUUUUUGUUUGUUCGUAUUUAUGGGUUACCCUUUGGAUCUUAGAUAGCUUCUAUAUAGUUUCCUGUUUUUUUUUCUGAUCCCAGUUGACGUACUGAUUCUGUUUUCUUCAAAACGUGGCAUGGGUGUCAUCUUGUGCUGUUAAGUGCGUAUUCAGGUGUUUGUAUAUUUUACAUCCUCUCCUCAAACCCGUUGUCUUUACACUACUACACCAGACAUUACAUCCUCUCCUCAAACCCGUUUUCUUUACACUACUGCACCAGACAUUAGAUUAUAAGAGAAGUGCUUGUAUCUUUUUAGAUCUUUUCUUAGUAGAGCCACAUAAAUAGGGAAAGUUACUGGUUGGAAUAUUAUAAAUGUAAAAUAAUUAGAAGACAGCUAACCUACAUAGAUGAAGAAUAUACAAAUACAACACUCAUAGAUAGAUUAGAACCAGGACUUCAACUUACCACUACCUCGUGGAGAUAGAGAGACUGUUUAGGAAAGACCCUCGGUUCAAGUGCAGUAAAUCCAAGUACAAAGAAGAAAACAUAACAAGUAACAACUAACAAAGGAGGCAAUGUAAAGCUUACAAGAAAGGAGCAAGAACAGCAACAACUUAGUGCGAUAAUCAAAACACAAUAAACGAAUAUGUAGUAACUUAUGCACAUGUUUCAGUCUUUGCAGCUGUGACACAACCUUUAGUGGCUUGAACGUAGCCUCAGAAUACUCACCAUUACCAGUUAGCUUUAGUGAGGAUUCUUUUGAAUC
Long non-coding RNA from Solanum pennellii, 1521 nucleotides. RefSeq lists it as uncharacterized. The record is from RefSeq and is a predicted model, not a curated record. The transcript is spliced from 3 exons. NCBI's taxonomy places the organism in Eukaryota, Viridiplantae, Streptophyta, Magnoliopsida, Solanales, Solanaceae.